Triticum aestivum (bread wheat) is the source of this 222-nucleotide non-coding RNA. NCBI's taxonomy places the organism in Eukaryota, Viridiplantae, Streptophyta, Magnoliopsida, Poales, Poaceae. The record is from Rfam.
GAUGAAACACAUAUCGACAUCUCAAUGUCCGAAAGCGUUUUCCUUACCCAGCCGAACAGUUCAGGCCAAAUCCUGAAGAAAGCUCAAAAGCGUUGUUUGAUGAGCCUGCAUAGUAUUAGGAAGUUGGUCAAGUAAAGGUUGACCAAGCUAAUGAUGCUUAGCUGGUCUUUUCAGAUGAUCAGCCACACUGGGACUGAGACGCGGCCUGAACUCCCACAGGGG